This is a non-coding RNA of Camellia sinensis, 2409 nucleotides long. The record is from RefSeq and is a predicted model, not a curated record. Lineage: Eukaryota; Viridiplantae; Streptophyta; Magnoliopsida; Ericales; Theaceae.
AGUCUUCUUUCUUUACAAUUUACCUUUUUUCUUUGUGCACUAGGUACAUCCUUUUUUUUUCCCCCUCUUCCCCUCUUUUUGUUUUUGUGGGUUAUUUUGGAGUUCAUAACCAGGUGUAUGUUUAAUUUUCACAAAAUUUGUGAAUUCAUUAAACUUCAGCAGAUUAGGCCACAAUUCGCCAAAAUUCACGAUUGAGGAGUUGUAACUAGUAAUCAAGUCUAAGGCCUAAAAGCAUUGAAGACCAAGGAGAUUUUACAAAUGCUAAAUUUUAGCAGGGCAAGAACUCAGCCAUGGCCAACAAGGGCUAUGUCUUGAGGAGGUAAGAUUUCCUUUCAUUUUAUUAAUCUACUAAGAGCAAUUUGGUAGGAAAAAUUCUUUUGGCUGCUGCCCUUCACUACAAGAAAAUAGUGAUUUAGAGACUAAUAUUUAGGGACUAAUUACAUUUAGUCUCUAAAAAUCAUCAUUUAGAGACAAAAAUAAAUUUUAAAAGAAAAUUAUAAGAAUACACCAUAUUUCUUUAUGAUAGGCCAAAAGAAAUUAUUUAGAAACUUUUAAGGACCAAAAAAAUUAACGCGUACAUUCACUUAGAUACUUGACCCGCAUGUUUGAGGUAGAUAAAAGCUGGAGACGAAUUAGUUUGGUUGCUAAAGCUUGUCAAAUACGCAAUAUAAGAAUUGAUCUUCAGUAGGACUUUAUCGAUCUCGACUGUUUCCUCUGUCUAGGACUUUGACUCAAUCAAUCUUCAACUUUGAUCUAUCUUUAGCUUCAGUUUGAAUCGAUCUUUGUGCCGCCUUAUAUCGAAAUCGAUCUUUACUUCAAUCCGAAUCCAUCUUUGUACUGAUCUCAGUUUCAAUCGAUCUUACCUAUUGUAACUUUAAUCUUAAUUGAUUAAGAUCUCAGCUUCAAUCUGAAUCGAUCGUUGAAGAUCUGAGUUCUUUGGCUUUAAUCGGAAGGUAAAUCAAUGAUUUUCAUGGCAGAUGAGAUCUUCAUCUUGAUGCACAAUUUUUUGAGAUUUUCUAUCAUUUUUUUAGCUACACACACACACACACACACACACACACAUAUAUACAUAUAUUCUGAGAUCUUAUAUCAUUUAUUCUUCAUCUUGUUCAAAUUUUUUGCUGAUAUAUGUAAGUUUGAGUAAAUCGAUUUGGUUUCCAACAGAGAUCGUAGUAAUUUGGAUUCAAUAGCGAUUUGAUCGCAUGUUGCUGCAAUAAGGAUUGUAGGAGAAUUACGUGCCCUAUUCUCUGUACACUUGUUGUAUGGCAGUGCUUGAAAGUCAACUCGAUUUUGUAUAUCGCAGGUUUAUUACCGAUUUCUGUCUAGUAGCUAAAAUGGAGCUUUGGACCGUUGAAAUCUCCAACUAUAAUUAUCUUGUCUCCAAUAGAUAAUUCCUACAUUAGUUUAUCCAAUUGAUUCCAAAACUGUCCUUUAAUAUAUUCCUCAAAUCAUAUUUGGUCGAUACUCUCAAAACUGUUAUGUUGGCUGAUACCACGAUCUAAGACCAUUCUUCUAAUGAAAACUUUCAUGAGAUGGGCAUAUUGCAGUACAUGUAGUGCCUUCAAAUUAUCUUGUUUCCCACUCAUUUAAAUAUUGAAACAUAAUUUCUUCUUCUUUUAUUAUUAUAUUCGAUACUCGCUCUUGAAUACUUUUGACAAGGAACAUGUUCAAUCAUGAAACACUUUCAUGGCUAAGAUCAGUCCAACUGUUUGUCCAAGCAAGUGAAUGAUAGAUUUGUCGCAGAGGUUACACCAUUGUCACCCUCUGGAACGGAAAGAUAUUCAGAGUUUCAUACAACUGAAUCGCCUAUAGAAUUCCAUGAGGAAGAAACAAGGAGUAGGUAUGCCAUGCCAAGUCUAGAUCAACAAUAAAACAAGGGAGAAAUAUCUACGAGAGAGGUUUGCAUUUAUGUUGGCUUAAAUUUAGUUUAUUGAUUAAUUGUUUUAUUGGGUACCAAUAUAUUGUUACAAGAAAGCUAAGGCAGUUAUGAUGCUUUUACAUCUGUCAGUCUAAGGUUUUAAUAACCAACCGCUCUAGAAGCCUAACCUGUUAGAAAGUAGUGUAGCUUGUUAUUUAUAUCAUCACACCCCUUUAGUAAGUUGUGCAAGUAAUUACUGGUUUCACUUGAUCACAUGACAUUAUAGCUGCAUGACCUUCAACAGUAGCUCUGAUGCAUCAUAUCUGAUUGUAUUAUUUGCAAAUGGUUGUCUUUGUAGGAUAUCUUGUUCUUUGUCCAAGCAGGAACAUGAUGCUUUCAUCCAAGAAACUUCAGCAUUGUCAUCCUCACGUAGUGAUCUUGCUCCUUGGCUUUGGAUCCGAUCAUUCUUUUCUUUCUACCUUCUUUGUUGUUACUUUCUUUUGUUUUCGUUUUAUCUUCCUUUUGCGUUAUUAGCUCAUGGAUUUGCAUUA